AUACGGAGGGUGCAAGCGUUAUCCGGAUUUAUUGGGUUUAAAGGGUGCGCAGGCGGACCUGUCAGUCAGUGGUGAAAUCCCGGGGCUCAACCCCGGAACUGCCAUUGAUACUACAGGUCUUGAAUACGGUUGAAGUAGGCGGAAUGUAGCAUGUAGCGGUGAAAUGCAUAGAUAUGCUACAGAACACCGAUGGCGAAGGCAGCUUACUAAGCCGAUAUUGACGCUCAGGCACGAAAGCGUGGGUAGCGAACAGGAUUAGAAACCCUAGUAGUCC
This 274-nucleotide ribosomal RNA is filed under the name uncultured bacterium. Its description in RNAcentral is "partial 16S ribosomal RNA". It matches the Rfam family "Bacterial small subunit ribosomal RNA", at positions 523 to 796 of the family's 1533-position model. The record is from RNAcentral.